Molecule: ribosomal RNA, 907 nt
Filed under: Pseudocercospora crousii
Lineage: Eukaryota; Fungi; Ascomycota; Dothideomycetes; Mycosphaerellales; Mycosphaerellaceae
Description: eukaryotic LSU rRNA
Rfam family: Eukaryotic large subunit ribosomal RNA
Source: RNAcentral
UUGACCUCGGAUCAGGUAGGGAUACCCGCUGAACUUAAGCAUAUCAAUAAGCGGAGGAAAAGAAACCAACAGGGAUUGCCCUAGUAACGGCGAGUGAAGCGGCAACAGCUCAAAUUUGAAAUCUGGCGCAAGCCCGAGUUGUAAUUUGUAGAGGAUGCUUCUGGGUAGCGGCCGGUCUAAGUUCCUUGGAACAGGACGUCAUAGAGGGUGAGAAUCCCGUAUGUGACUGGCUUGCACCCUCCACGUAGCUCCUUCGACGAGUCGAGUUGUUUGGGAAUGCAGCUCUAAAUGGGAGGUAAAUUUCUUCUAAAGCUAAAUACCGGCCAGAGACCGAUAGCGCACAAGUAGAGUGAUCGAAAGAUGAAAAGCACUUUGGAAAGAGAGUUAAAAAGCACGUGAAAUUGUUGAAAGGGAAGCGCCCGCAACCAGACUUUGCGGCAGUGUUCGGCCGGUCUUCUGACCGGUUUACUCGCUGUCGUGAGGCCAUCAUCGUCUGGGACCGCUGGAUAAGACCUUAGGAAUGUGGCUCCCCUCGGGGAGUGUUAUAGCCUCUGGUGAUGCAGCGCGUCUCGGGCGAGGUCCGCGCUUCGGCAAGGAUGAUGGCGUAAUGGUUGUCGGCGGCCCGUCUUGAAACACGGACCAAGGAGUCUAACAUCUAUGCGAGUGUUCGGGUGUCAAACCCCUACGCGUAAUGAAAGUGAACGGAGGUGGGAACUUUUUGUGCACCAUCGACCGAUCCUGAUGUCCUCGGAUGGAUUUGAGUAAGAGCAUAGCUGUUGGGACCCGAAAGAUGGUGAACUAUGCCUGAAUAGGGUGAAGCCAGAGGAAACUCUGGUGGAGGCUCGCAGCGGUUCUGACGUGCAAAUCGAUCGUCAAAUUUGGGUAUAGGGGCGAAAGACUAAUCGAA